RNAcentral lists this ribosomal RNA (404 nucleotides) under Actinomycetes bacterium. Its description in RNAcentral is "Actinobacteria bacterium partial 16S ribosomal RNA". It matches the Rfam family "Bacterial small subunit ribosomal RNA", at positions 355 to 776 of the family's 1533-position model. Lineage: Bacteria; Bacillati; Actinomycetota; Actinomycetes. The record is from RNAcentral.
UGGGGAAUAUUGGACAAUGGGCGCAAGCCUGAUCCAGCCAUGCCGCGUGAGUGAUGAAGGCCCUAGGGUUGUAAAGCUCUUUCACCGGUGAAGAUAAUGACGGUAACCGGAGAAGAAGCCCCGGCUAACUUCGUGCCAGCAGUCGCGGUAAUACGAAGGGGGCUAGCGUUGUUCGGAUUUACUGGGCGUAAAGCGCACGUAGGCGGACUAUUAAGUCAGGGGUGAAAUCCAGGGGCUCAACCCCGGAACUGCCUUUGAUACUGGUAGUCUUGAGUUCGAGAGAGGUGAGUGGAAUUCCGAGUGUAGAGGUGAAAUUCGUAGAUAUUCGGAGGAACACCAGUGGCGAAGGCGGCUCACUGGCUCGAUACUGACGCUGAGGUGCGAAAGCGUGGGGAGCAAACAGG